UACGUAGGUGGCAAGCGUUGUCCGGAUUUACCGGGCGUAAAGAGCGCGCAGGCGGUCGUUCAAGUCGCGUGUGAAAGCCCCCGGCUCAACUGGGGAGGGUCACGCGAUACUGAUCGACUCGAAGGCAGGAGAGGGUAGUGGAAUUCCCGGUGUAGUGGUGAAAUGCGUAGAUAUCAGGAGGAACACCAAUUGCGAAGGCAGCUCGCUGGGACGUAACUGACGCUGAGACGCGAAAGCGUGGGGAGCAAACAGG
RNAcentral lists this ribosomal RNA (253 nucleotides) under uncultured bacterium. RNAcentral describes it as "partial 16S ribosomal RNA". It matches the Rfam family "Bacterial small subunit ribosomal RNA", at positions 524 to 776 of the family's 1533-position model. The record is from RNAcentral.